Molecule: non-coding RNA, 503 nt
Organism: Pelobates cultripes (western spadefoot toad)
Lineage: Eukaryota; Metazoa; Chordata; Amphibia; Anura; Pelobatidae
Source: the annotation of a GenBank genome assembly
UAGAGAGACUGCAUCACUCGGUCCUUGGCUAGCUAGGCCUCACUCAUCCUAUGUUAGAGAGACUGCAUCACUCGGUCCUUGGCUAGCUAGGCCUCACUCAUCCUAUGUUAGAGAGACUGCAUCACUCGGUCCUUGGCUAGCUAGGCCUCACUCAUCCUAUGUUAGAGAGACUGGAUCACUCGUUCCUUGGCUAGCUAGACCUCACUCAUCCUAUGUUAGAGAGACUGGAUCACUCGGUCCUUGGCUAGGUAGACCUCACUCAUCCUAUGUUAGAUAGACUGCAUCACUCGUUCCUUGGCUAGCUAGGCCUCACUCAUCCUAUGUUAGAGAUACUGCAUCACUCGGUCCUUGGCUAGGUAGGCCUCACUCAUCCUAUGUUAGAGAGACUGCAUCACUCGUUCCUUGGCUAGCUAGACCUCACUCAUCCUAUGUUAGAGAGACUGGAUCACUCGGUCCUUGGCUAGGUAGGCCUCACUCAUCCUAUGUUAGAGAGACUGCAUCAC